This is a long non-coding RNA of Leopardus geoffroyi (Geoffroy's cat), 374 nucleotides long. RefSeq lists it as uncharacterized. Lineage: Eukaryota; Metazoa; Chordata; Mammalia; Carnivora; Felidae. The transcript has 2 exons. The record is from RefSeq and is a predicted model, not a curated record.
ACGGGGUGGGGAAGAAAGCGGAGGGUGGGCCUGAGGUUUCGGGGAGUGGGUGGGAGCAGCACUGACCCGCACAUACUCACCCCUCCUCCCGCCCUUUCUCAUUUCACCUGCUUUGACCAUCAGAAGGGAUUCCUGGCAGAAUGACCCGCCCUUACAACUCUCAACCUUCUCCGUGGUCCAGUUAAACAUACUGCUUGGGUCCUCUUCUAUACUGGUGAACACGCCCUUGUGACAAUAUAAGUUUUGCACCGCUGGGGAGAAAAGGAGAUCUGGGCCAAGGAGGGGGCUCCCAGGAGGAGGAGGAACAACAAACUCUGGGCACGACGGGUACUCAUGGCGUCCUUUAGACAGGGCUGGAAGCGCGGCUCAGGAUC